Long non-coding RNA from Amblyraja radiata (thorny skate), 278 nucleotides. RefSeq lists it as uncharacterized. The record is from RefSeq and is a predicted model, not a curated record. The transcript is spliced from 3 exons. NCBI's taxonomy places the organism in Eukaryota, Metazoa, Chordata, Chondrichthyes, Rajiformes, Rajidae.
AAGGUUUUGGAAAACAUCCUAAGGGUUCUGUGUCAUCUCACUGGAAGAGCUGAGACUGUGAAUUUAAUGUUAGCAAAUGGACUUGAGUUAACUAUCAACAGGUUGUUAUUGAGCACAUCUAGCAAAAGUAUUUUACAUAAGGUUGCAAAUAAAAUGAAGUUUUCACUGACCAGUUUGCAAAAUGUUCACCUACAAAAUGAUGCCGUCUAUUGUGAAGGGAAUAAUGAUAUCAUGGAUAUUCCCAGAGAGAAAUCAAGUCAGUCUACAGUGGAUCAUAA